Sparus aurata (gilthead seabream) is the source of this 3060-nucleotide long non-coding RNA. The record is from Ensembl. NCBI's taxonomy places the organism in Eukaryota, Metazoa, Chordata, Actinopteri, Spariformes, Sparidae.
GGAAAGUGCUUUUUGGGCAGCAGGGGAUUUUUUUGCUGCGAUCCCGCCAGUGGGAAACGGACCAGACUGAAAGUAGCUAGUUUUUAAUUUCCAAAUGAUGGAUGACUUACAGUAAUAGCUCCUCAAAAGUGAAGCAAAACAUAUUGAUCGCCCCCUAGUGGCUGUGAGCAGUAUAGCUCAAAAACAACAUCAACCAAAUUGAGAUUAAAUCAAAAGAACCGUAACAUGCAUGUGUGGUUAAGUGCUCUUAACUCUUUUUAUAGGGUGCAGCGGGUACGACAACCCCCUGGAUCAGAACACCUGCACCACCCAGGUGGAGAAGGAGAUCCCACUGCAGGAACUGGCUGAACUUCUGGGUGUGACUCCUGAUGUCAACCCGUCUGAGGAUGGAUCGUGUUGCUCACUGCGGCCUGAGACCAACUCACCUCAGCAGAAGCAGAGAGCUGUUCGCCUCAUACAAGCAUCAGUGUCCCAGCACCUCCCAAAGCCGCCAUCAGAUCUGGACCAGAACCUUCAGCAGCACCUGGUCAAUGUGCAGGAGACUGUGCCCAAUGAGCUCAUGAGGCUGUGGCCCCUGUUGGAGAAAAUGGAUUUGACUGAAAGUCUGAUUGAUUGCUACCAUCGUCAGACACUCGGUCACAUCGAUGAGCUACUCAAGAACGCCCAGUCCUGCAAGAAAGCCUUUGUGCUGAUGAACUGGGUCCUAAAUACAUAUCUGAGUCAGGAGCUGCUCGGUCAUCCCGACCUCCAGAAAAUGGAUCCGAUGAAGAAAGUCGACCUCCUGCUGUUCACAGAAUUGGCAGUAAAGGCAAAGAACAAGCUGCUGGACAACGUGCAGAAACAGGUCAGAGCACAUCUGGAGAACAUCCUGCAGAUCGAGAGGCGACAGGACGUUGGUGAUAAAGAGGAAACUUGCAUUGGACUUUAUAUCAACACCAUUAUGUGUAUUAAUGCGAUGCCCAAAGAAGCACAAGAAAUCAGCUCCAAACUGUCCGAUGAGGUCCGGGAGGUUUGUUUCCAGGAGCUGCUGAUAUUUCUGGAGAGGUACUCGUCCGAGCAGACUGAGAUUCUUGGGAAAAAAGCAAAAAUGGACAAACCAGAAACGAUACACUUCUUCAAGACGCUGAAAACCUGUAAAGAACUCAAGCAGCACGUCCAGACCAACAGCAAAGGCAUCAACGAGUCACUGAUCCAGGAAAUUGCAGAAACUCUUGAGAAGAUGGAGGAUUUUACUCUGAAACUCCUGAUGGAUAUUGUUGACGACAUGGCGGAGAUCCACCUGAGCAAUUACUUCAAGACGGAGAACAAGCAGUUCUUCUUCUUGAUCCUCGGACUGAAGGCGUAUUUCCCCAAGCUGUCGUGGUGUCAGGAUGUACAAAAGAGAGUGAUGGACGAGGCCUACAAGCUCAUCGCUCACAUUUACCUCAAACAUCUCGUCCAAAGCAGCCAGAAGAAACUGAAGAAGUGCUGGAGCGCUGAUGUUGGUCAGACGGUUACCGAAGAUGCCCAGAGUCUUCACGACACCAUCUCUGGCCUGGCCCCUGAUGUCAAACAGUGGAACCUCAUGAUGCUGAAGGUCACAGAGCUGCUGGAGGAUAAAGACAGCGUCGCGGUGAAGCUCACUGCUGCGAGCAUGCUGAAAGAAUGUCCCACGUGGAGGUAAAUCAAUCUGUUAAAUCAAAAUGUUGCCAAUAAUUCAGCGAAACUUUGCAUCUUACUGACUCUGUUCUGUGUUUCGCCCUCAACCACAGCGAGGACGAGGAGCUCCUGCCCGCCCUGCUGCGAUGGAAGGGUCUCUCUGGAUGGGAGGUGAAGGAGGUUCUGGAGGUGUUGGACUCACUUUCGGAGCACAAACCCAGUUCCAGAUCUGUAUCCUGGUACUCCUGUUUAACCUGCUGGUGACGGAUCGACUGCAACAAGCAGAGAAGAAGACAGACUUGGACUUUUAAUCAGCUGCCUCCUGUGGAAACCCGUUCCGUUAAUUCUUCCACCGUCUGAUCUAAAGACGGAUGCACAGACAGAAGUUACAGAAGGUUUUUAUAAGAUAUGGCACAAAAGUAUGAUGAGCUUUGUGCACAAGAGGCUGCUCAUCAGUUAGCCCACAUGUUACUGUUCCUGUUUUUUCAGGGAAAGGCGAAUAGGAGUUUUUUAAACCCUUGUUGACCAAGUUUAGCUUUUUCUUUCACAAUUUGCUAAUAUGCUAAUCUGUGCUUUGGUGGGUGAUGGUUUUUUCAUGACUUUAGUUUUAAAACAAGCAAAGUGAAAGUUUUUUACAUUUUCUAUGUGUUUUUUUUUAAAGAUAUUUUGUUGGAUUAUGUUUGAGGGAGAGAGUUACACCGUUAAGUUAAGGCUGAGUUUCUGAAACUGUACUGAUUUUUUUUGACAAUCAAAUGACGACCAGAGAGGAUUUAAAGGAAAUGUUAACUUUAUUGUUCUGUUGUGCAGUUACACAUUUACUUUUAGUUUGUUUACCGUCAAUUGCUCUGUGGAUUUAAGGCACUACAUGUAGAAACGUUAAGGGAUUUUUACUUGAACUUGUUCUUAUUUAAUAUUAUUUAUUAAGUUUUGAAUUAUUUAUUUACAUGUAAGCUUUACAGAAACUUCUCAGUGUUCACUAAACAACAAUCGGUGGUACGAUAUCAAACUUCACUGUUCAGAACAAAAAAACCUGUUUGAAUUAUUCUUUAACUACAGAUUCUGAUGAUGUUCAGUAUCAUUUGUUAUUUAUGUGUUCAUGUCUAAUAAAAUCAGGGCACAGAAGUGUUUUCUAUCUGAGUUUACAGGUUUUUUAUUCCCCCUUAACUCAGUACAAAGUGCACAUUGAGUUCAUGCAUUUGUAUUAUCUUAAUGUUUAUUUUGUUGACAGUCUUUUACUGUACGUUGGGUUGGUUCUCGUCUCUUUCUGUCAGCGAUGACAUGAAUAAACUUCAGUAUGAUUCAAUGAAAAGUCAGAGUUCAGCUUCAUUGUUCCUCCACUAGAUGGAGUCCAACAUCAUCUUAAUAAAGACUCAAAAGGAAGAAGCUCCACAACACUGACAGAAAACAGAAAACAGAUCCCAG